GGAUUGUGGCUCAGUGGUAGAGCGCUCAUCUACCAUGCAUGGGGUACUGGGUUCGAUCCUCAGCACCA
Molecule: transfer RNA, 68 nt
Filed under: Marmota monax (woodchuck)
Lineage: Eukaryota; Metazoa; Chordata; Mammalia; Rodentia; Sciuridae
Description: tRNA.Gly
Source: RNAcentral